This is a non-coding RNA of Hydra vulgaris (swiftwater hydra), 131 nucleotides long. The record is from RefSeq and is a predicted model, not a curated record. Lineage: Eukaryota; Metazoa; Cnidaria; Hydrozoa; Anthoathecata; Hydridae.
AUGAAAUUGAUGAUAUGGUUGUGUCAGUCUUUAGAAAGUUUAGUUCUGAAAGUUUAAAAGAAAUUGCUUCAUCGCAACUAUUAAAAUCAAUUUUUUCUGGUCAAUUAUACAGCUACAGACAUAAUAUUUAU